GUGCUCACUUUGGCAGCACCUGCACUAAAAUUGAAACGACGCAGAGAAGAUUAGAUGACCCUUGUGCAAAGAUGACAUGCAAAUUUGUGAAGAGUUUCAUAUUUUU
RNAcentral lists this small nuclear RNA (106 nucleotides) under Sciurus vulgaris (Eurasian red squirrel). The record is from RNAcentral. Lineage: Eukaryota; Metazoa; Chordata; Mammalia; Rodentia; Sciuridae.